Non-coding RNA from Homo sapiens (human), 369 nucleotides. The record is from the annotation of a RefSeq genome assembly. Lineage: Eukaryota; Metazoa; Chordata; Mammalia; Primates; Hominidae.
AUGGCCUGGACUCCUCUCCUCCUCCUGUUCCUCUCUCACUGCACAGGUUCCCUCUCGCAGGCUGUGCUGACUCAGCCGUCUUCCCUCUCUGCAUCUCCUGGAGCAUCAGCCAGUCUCACCUGCACCUUGUGCAGUGGCAUCAAUGUUGGUACCUACAGGAUAUACUGGUACCAGCAGAAGCCAGGGAGUCCUCCCCAGUAUCUCCUGAGGUACAAAUCAGACUCAGAUAAGCAGCAGGGCUCUGGAGUCCCCAGCCGCUUCUCUGGAUCCAAAGAUGCUUCGGCCAAUGCAGGGAUUUUACUCAUCUCUGGGCUCCAGUCUGAGGAUGAGGCUGACUAUUACUGUAUGAUUUGGCACAGCAGCGCUUCU